This 440-nucleotide ribosomal RNA is filed under the name uncultured bacterium. RNAcentral's name for it is "partial 16S ribosomal RNA". It matches the Rfam family "Bacterial small subunit ribosomal RNA", at positions 338 to 795 of the family's 1533-position model. The record is from RNAcentral.
CCUACGGGUGGCAGCAGUGGGGGAUAUUGCACAAUGGGGGAAACCCUGAUGCAGCGACGCCGCGUGAGUGAAGAAGUAUUUCGGUAUGUAAAGCUCUAUCAGCAGGGAAGAAAAUGACAGUACCUGACCAAGAAGCCCCGGCUAACUCCGUGCCAGCAGCCGCGGUCAUCCGUCGGGGGCAAGCGUUCUCCGGAUUUACUGGGUGUAAAGGGAGCGUAAACGGUUAUGUAAGUCUGGAGUGAAAGCCCCGGGCCCAACCCCGGGACUGCUGUGGAAACUGUGUAACUGGAGUACAGGAGGGGCAGGCGGAAGUCCUGGUGUAGCGGUGAAAUGCGUAGAGAUCAGGAGGAACACAGGCGGCGAAGGCGGCCUGCUGGACUGAAACUGACGGUGAGGCUCGAAAGCGUGGGGAGCAAACAGGAUUAGAUACCCUGGUAGUC